This 478-nucleotide ribosomal RNA is filed under the name uncultured bacterium. Its description in RNAcentral is "partial 16S ribosomal RNA". It matches the Rfam family "Bacterial small subunit ribosomal RNA", at positions 28 to 507 of the family's 1533-position model. The record is from RNAcentral.
GACGAACGCUGGCGGCGUGCUUAACACAUGCGAGUCGAACGGGAAUUAGUAGACAGAGGCCUCCGCAAGAGAUUACUAAAGGGGUUGGCGAAAGGGUGAUUAACGCGUGAGCAAACUGCCUAUGACAGUGGAAUCGGCUCGGAAAACCGGGAAUAAUACCGCAUCAAAUCGUAGAAAAACAUGAUUCGACGGUGAAAGACUUAAUGGACAUAGAUGUGCGCCAGUAUGAUUAGCUAGAUGGUGAGAUAACAGCACACCAAGGCGUCGAUCAGUAGCCGGGAUGAGAGGAUGAACCGCCACAUCGGAACUGAGACACGGUCCAAACUCCUACGCGAGGCAGCAGAGGGGAACAGAGCACAAUGGCGGAAACGCUGAUGCAGCGACGACGCGUGAACUCUGAAAGUAGUCGUAUCGUAAAGUGUUGGCCUAUGUGAAGAUAAUGACAGUACCAUAGAAGAAAGCCACGGCUAAAUACGUG